GAUGAACGCUAGCGACAGGCUUAACACAUGCAAGUCGAGGGGCAUCGGGACGUAGCAAUACGUUGCCGGCGACCGGCGGAUGGGUGAGUAACGCGUAUGCAACCUGCCCACGACAGGGGGAUAGCCCGUUGAAAGACGGAUUAAUACCCCAUAAAACAGGGGUUCCGCAUGGGACUAUUUGUUAAAGGGUUUUCCGCGAGGGGAUCCGGUUGUGGAUGGGCAUGCGUUCCAUUAGGCAGUUGGUGGGGUAACGGCUCACCAAACCGACGAUGGAUAGGGGAACCGGGAGGUUGGUCCCCCACACUGGUACUGAGAUACGGACCAGACUCCUACGGGAGGCAGCAGUGAGGAAUUUGGUCAAUGGACGGAAGUCUGAACCAGCCAAGUCGCGUGAAGGAAGGCGGCCCUAAGGGUUGUAAACUUCUUUUGUAAGGGAAUAAAGGCCGGUACGCGUUACCGGUUUGCAGGUACCUUACGAAUAAGGAUCGGCUAACUCCGUG
RNAcentral lists this ribosomal RNA (500 nucleotides) under uncultured bacterium. RNAcentral's name for it is "bacterial SSU rRNA". It matches the Rfam family "Bacterial small subunit ribosomal RNA", at positions 28 to 507 of the family's 1533-position model. The record is from RNAcentral.